RNAcentral lists this long non-coding RNA (1297 nucleotides) under Helianthus annuus (common sunflower). RNAcentral describes it as "hypothetical non coding rna". The record is from RNAcentral. Lineage: Eukaryota; Viridiplantae; Streptophyta; Magnoliopsida; Asterales; Asteraceae.
UCUACCACCACACAUUCACUCACACACACACUGUAAUUUAUCUCUCUACCACCAUAACCAUCACCGCACCACCACCACCCCCACCACCGCACCACCAUCAUCCCUACCGCACCAUCAUCAGCACCACCACACCACCAUCAUCCUCACCAUCGCACGACCAUCGUCCCCUCAAUCCACCAUCAUCCCCACCAAAAUAGCUUUGCAGAUCCGGCGAAAAAUACACAGAUCCGGACCAAACUGUCCAGAUCCAACGGCAAGAGAUAGAGUUCCGAGAGUUACCGGGUACGCCUCCACCGCUGAUAAAAGCUUAAUCGAUCUUGCUGAAACCGCCUACAGCAGCCACUCCAUUGUUUCUGAAGAGCUGUUGUUGCUUAAUUGUAGAAGAAAACAGAGUGUGCGUGUGGUUGUUUGUGUUGAGAGAAUUUUAUAGAGUCUUGCCUUUAAAAUGGAAAUGAAAGAGCAGACUUUUGUGUUUGAGAAUUAUAUUUGAGUGGGCUAAUGAAAGCGGUAAGGGUGGAUGGUGGAGGUGAGAUGGUGGUGGGUGGUGUGGUGUUGAUGGUGGAGGUCAGACGGUGAUGGAGGGUUUUCAAUAGCGGUGGUAAGACAGUGGUGGGUGGUGUCGGUGUCGGUGGUGGUGGUGUUGAUGGUUGUGGGGGAUGCAGGUGAUGAACAUUCAGAGAUAUAUAAGAAAGAUGUAAUAAUAUUUUUUUUUAUUAUAAGGGUAAAGAAGAAGACACAGGGGCAUUUUAGUCUUUUAAUAGAAAACUAACAGAAAAUAUGGAUGAUGUUAGAAAUUUGGACUCAAAUGGUUAAGAAAAAUGCUUAUAGGGACUCAGGUCGUUAAACUUUUUGCUUUUGGACUCAACUAGUUAAAACCUAUAAAACACAGGGACUCAAAAAGUAAUUUACCCUAAAUAUUAAAACAUUGUGUACAAGUCAUAAAUAAACUUAUUAUAGUAAAUAUUAUUGGUUAUGAUACCUUUACUACAAGUGUACAGCCAAUGAUCUUUAGAUCAAGUGGUGGAAGGCUUGCAUUUCUCUUGAGAGACGCAGGUUCAACUUCCACUUGGUGCAGAGUGAGACAGAGUGAGACACUGGUGGGCAAUGAUAGGAGACCCUGGAAACCUGGGUUCGAUCCUUGAGCCAAACGGGUUUUACCGGUAAUUUCACCGUCGUGCCUACGGGCGGGUGGGUUAACGGGUUUUCCCCGGAAUUGGUGGUGGACUCAGGUUGCUCUCGGAGUACUCCGUUUGGUCCAGUGGGUGUCCCGAAAGUACUCGGGAUUGAUUCUGUUGGC